This 1553-nucleotide long non-coding RNA is filed under the name Arabidopsis lyrata. RNAcentral's name for it is "long non-coding RNA (ALYR_LNC001407)". The record is from RNAcentral. Lineage: Eukaryota; Viridiplantae; Streptophyta; Magnoliopsida; Brassicales; Brassicaceae.
AGUUUUAUUUGUCUUUUACUUUUUUCCAGAAUUAAAAUAGUUAAUUUAACACAAGUUUUUUUAUUUGGGGGGCUAACUAGAGAAUGAUUUGAGGAGAGGGGGCCGAUGAGAAUUUUAUCCCUCUUUCUCUACUUUGAAAUCGUUCUCUUCGACUUUUCCUCAUGAACGUUUAUCAGCUUCAAUUCUCUUAAAUUCAAAAGAGAAGUUACGAUUUCUCCAUCUUUAAUUGGUAAAACUAGGUAGAAUUCAAGAUUUUGACUGUGAAAAAUUGUUGAUUUCUCUUGAUAAUGGUUAAGACAAGGUGGUCAAAAAAGAGGAAGAGAGGAGAAGAGGGUUCGGGAAACCCUAAUGUUGAGGAGAAAGAUGGAUAAAGUUUGCGGAACCCUCCAGAUUCGAACAAUGUUGACGAGGAGGUAGAAAUAGAAAAAGAUAGAGAUAAAUAGUUAUCUCCAGUUGCUGAGAAUAAUGAAGAAGAAGGGAAUGAAGACGAUGAAGAAGAAGGGAAUGAAGUAGAAGAGAAAGAAGAUGAAGAGAGUGAAGACGAAGAGAAUGAAGAUGAAGGAGAGAGUAGCCGAACCUUGCGUGAUUUCAUUGAAGAGAGAUCCGAAGAGAUAUCAAACGAAAAUCGCGUGGAGAUGGUAAGUAGUUGGGUUCGAAAUGUGAAUUUUGGAUUUUAAGUAAUAAUGGUUGAAUAAUACAUUUGUGAUUUCUGAGUAAUACUGGUAGAAUUGAGAAAUAAUAUUUUGACAUCUGGGUAACACUAGUAGAACUAGAGAAUACUAUUGUGAUGCCUAGGUAAAACUGAUAAUACUACGGUAUAACAAACAUUUAGUAAUACUGAGUAAUACUAUUGUAUAAUUGUGUUCAAUUGCAUGAGUCUGCUGACCCACUAGCUGGUCUUUCAGACCCACCAGCUGGUCCUUAGGAUCCACUUGCCAAGGAUGAUAAUGGUGGUUUAUGUGCGAUAGGCAAGGAAGAACCAACUCGGAAAGAAGUCCAACCCAAUUAGAUUUGGCUUCUUGUGUUUGGUAUGGAUAUUGUAAGUUUAUGCAUACUUUCUAGGGGUCGAUUAGGUUUUUAAAUGGAUAGCAAAUGGAUUUUAGCAACUAAAUCAUAGUGAAUUAUAGUUUUGAACCCGAAACCAUUCAAGUUGAGUUCUUCUCGGGAUAGUAGAACUGGUCAAACUGGGUAGAAAUGAAUCUGAAACUAUUGAAACAUAUAUAUAUAUAUAUAUAUAUAUAUAUAUAUAGUAUGACUAGUUACACUAGUAUGACCCAAAUAUAUGUAGUAUGACUAGUUACACUAGUAUUACCCAGAUCUAUGUAGUAUGACUAGUUAAACUAGUAUUACCCAGAUAUAUGUAGUAUGACUAGUUACACUAGUAUUACUACAAAUGUAGUAGAACUAGUAAAACCAGUAUUACUGAUAGAGUUUUUGUACUGUUUUGGCAGGAUACAAUGAGGGAGAACGUGUUCUUGGCAGGAUACAAUGAGGGAGAACGUGUUCAUAUAUUUCAAAUGCCAAGGUCGCAUGUAUAGCUUGAUGAUGAAGAC